GAGUUUGAUUAUGUGCUCAGGAUGAACGCUAGCGGCCCGCUUAAUACAUGCAAGUCGAGGGGCAGCAGCUUUAUCUCAAUAUAGAGGCUGGCGACCGGUCAACGGGUGCGGAACACGUACACAACCUUCCUUGACUAGGGGGAUAGCCCAUAGCCCUGUGGAUUAAUACCCCGUAAUAUAGCGGCGUGGCAUCACACUGUUAUUAUAUUUUCUGCGAUUCUAGAUGGGUGUGCGGCUGAUUAGGUAGUUGGCGGGGUAAAGGCCCACCAAGCCUUCGAUCAGUACCUGAUGUGAGAGCAUGAUCAGCCACACGGGCACUGACACACGGGCCCGACUCCUACUGGAGGCAACAAUAAGGAAUAUUGGUCAAUGGACGCAAGUCUGAACCAGCCAUGCCGCGUGAACGAUGAAUGUCCUCUGGAUUGUAAACUUCUUUUAUAGGGGGCGAAAAAAGGUCUUUCUAGAUCACUUGACAGUACCCUAUGAAUAAGCACCGGCUAACUCCGUGCCAGCAGCCGCGGUAAUACGGAGGGUGCAAGCGUUAUCCGGAUUCACUGGGUUUAAAGGGUGCGUAGGCGGGUAGGUAAGUCAGAGGUGAAAUCCUGGAGCUUAACUCCCCAGCUGCCUUUGAUACUAUCUAUCUUGAAUAUGGUGGAGGUAAGCGGAAUAUGUCCUGUACCGGUGAAAUGCAUAGAUAUGACAUAGAACACCUAUUGCGCACGCAGCUUACUACCCCUAUCUUGACGCUGAGGCACGAAAGCGUG
This 764-nucleotide ribosomal RNA is filed under the name uncultured Bacteroidota bacterium. RNAcentral's name for it is "bacterial SSU rRNA". It matches the Rfam family "Bacterial small subunit ribosomal RNA", at positions 9 to 763 of the family's 1533-position model. The record is from RNAcentral. Lineage: Bacteria; Pseudomonadati; Bacteroidota.